Molecule: ribosomal RNA, 390 nt
Filed under: Triticum aestivum (bread wheat)
Lineage: Eukaryota; Viridiplantae; Streptophyta; Magnoliopsida; Poales; Poaceae
Description: partial small subunit ribosomal RNA
Source: RNAcentral
AUUUGUUUUGAUGGAUGUCAUUUGAAAACUAAGUAUGGAGGUGUGCUUCUGUCUGCAGUUGGCAUGGAUCCUAAUGAUUGUAUCUAUCCUGUGGCACACUGCAUUGUAGAUGUCGAAGAUACUAACACUUGGAGCUGGUUUAUGAGAACACUGAAACACGAUCUUGGGAUUCAGAACACCUCAGCAUGGACUGUCAUGUCUGAUAAGCAAAAGGGCCUAACAAAUGUUGUAUUGCAGCAUUUUCAUGACUCAGAACACAGAUUCUGUGUCAGGCACCUUUGGCAGAAUUUCAGAGAGAAAUAUAGAGGAGAUGUUCUGAAAAACCAGCUCUGGAAGAUAGCUAGGUGCACCACAACUGAUCAGUAUGAAGAAUAUAUGGAAGAGAUGAGA